Helianthus annuus (common sunflower) is the source of this 760-nucleotide long non-coding RNA. RefSeq lists it as uncharacterized. The record is from RefSeq and is a predicted model, not a curated record. The transcript has 2 exons. Lineage: Eukaryota; Viridiplantae; Streptophyta; Magnoliopsida; Asterales; Asteraceae.
UAUUACACACUUGAUCUCAGUGGUUUACUUAUUACAAAGUUGGUCCUAGUGGUUGCAAAUUUUGCACUCGGGUGAUCCUUAUUACUAAUCCAUGUUUUUUUAGUUAAAUGUAUACGAAAUGACUAGAUUGUUUCUAAACAAUAAAAAAAAAAAAAAAAUAAAGAUACUCACCCUCAUCUUCUUCCUCCCCUCCCUCUCACUAAAACCCACUACCGCCACCACCUUCAACCCCCCCACCACCACCACCACCUCCACCGUCACCUUCAACCCACCACCACCUCCACUGUCACCUUCAAUCGACCCCACCCCCACCCUUCAAUUAACAACCACUCCAUCAAAAAACCCGCAGCACGCCUGCACUCCCUUUUGGUUCUGUUCACAACAACAAAAGCAAGUUCUUCAUCAUCCACUGUUCCCUUUUCUGUCCAGAUCUGUUUCAGCUCCGAUUUGCUACAGCUUGGUUCUUAUCGGUGUGCACAGGACAAUUAGUAGUUACCGCCGAUUCUCGAACUCAAUCUUCCAGCAAGUUACCCUUGCUUAAUCGCAGGUGGUGGUGGUGAGUUGAAGGUGACUGGAGGUGGUGGAUUGAAGGUGGUGGUGGUGGGUUGAACAUGGUGGCGGUCACGGUGGGUUUUAGAGAGAGUAGAGAGGUGAAGAAGAAGACGAGGGUGGACCAUUUUUUUUUUAUUGUUCAGUGGCAAUCUAGUCAUUUCGUAUACAUUUAACUGAGAAAAUUAAUAUGGGUUAGUGAUAAAGAUCA